This 207-nucleotide long non-coding RNA is filed under the name Capsicum annuum. Its description in RNAcentral is "long non-coding RNA (CANN_LNC018755)". The record is from RNAcentral. Lineage: Eukaryota; Viridiplantae; Streptophyta; Magnoliopsida; Solanales; Solanaceae.
CCAUUUGUUUGGUACUCAUACUACACUUCUGCAGCCUGCAAUUAUAGUACGGGUUAUCACUGUUGAUAUGUGGAUCGUACGAAGCAGCCAUGGUUCACAGACUUAGAGUGAACUCCUGACGUUUGGAGUAUUUCUCAUCUCUCUCUUAUGUAUUAGACUAGACUCUAUAUUGUAUACAGAGAUAAGUUGUAUCAGUGUAAUUCUCUU